Molecule: long non-coding RNA, 316 nt
Organism: Homo sapiens (human)
Lineage: Eukaryota; Metazoa; Chordata; Mammalia; Primates; Hominidae
Exons: 2
Source: RefSeq, a predicted model, not a curated record
AGCGAUUCUCCUGCCUCAGCCUCCUGAGUAGCUGGGAUUACAGUCAGGACAAGAUUCAGACGUGCACCCUGAGACGUCUUGGAGAAAGGAAGAGAGACAGGCAACAGAAGGAAGCAAAGCAGAUGCCGCGAGAACGGGCCUGGGAAAGGUUUCAAGCAGAGUGCGGCAUCUGUGGACAAUGUGAGCUGCGCUGCGGCCUCCACUGGACAGCCCACCCCCUGCUUCCUGCUGCAGCUUUUCUUUCGAGGAACAAGACUACAUCUGUUUGGCGAUAUUCUAUUUGGAAUCAUUAAAUAAAACUUUCAGGCCUGGCAAA